Molecule: long non-coding RNA, 263 nt
Organism: Echinops telfairi (small Madagascar hedgehog)
Lineage: Eukaryota; Metazoa; Chordata; Mammalia; Afrosoricida; Tenrecidae
Exons: 3
Source: RefSeq, a predicted model, not a curated record
UGAUCUUCUUGCAUUCGGCAUUAUUGCAUAGCUGGACCCUGGGGAGGAGCCAGGGCAGCUUUCUGGCCAGAGGGAUGAUGUGCAUCUCACCCGCGAUGACCCCCUACAAGGAGCCACGUCUACUUAAAGCCUAAGAAGCUUUGACCAAUGAAGAUCGAAGAGUACAGACCCAAUCAACAACAUCAUGUUAACAGAGAAAAGAUUGAAGUUGACAAGAAUUUCAUUUUACUUGGAUACAAAAUCAAUGCCCAUGGGUGGGAGCA